This is a long non-coding RNA of Equus caballus (horse), 2981 nucleotides long. RefSeq lists it as uncharacterized. The record is from RefSeq and is a predicted model, not a curated record. NCBI's taxonomy places the organism in Eukaryota, Metazoa, Chordata, Mammalia, Perissodactyla, Equidae.
UUUUUUCCUUAAUAAGAAUAUUGUUAAUCUUUUUCUGCUUACCGAUCAAAGAACAGAGAUCUAUGAAGGCCCAGUACUUGUCCAAAACAGUGUAGGUUUCCUCUUAGUUCUAAAUACUCUGACUUAAAUGGUGAUAAAAACAACCUCUCAGAAUCGCAUUUUGACAAAAGCCCCAAUUUCCAGAGUUUAAUAAGUAUACACAGGUUGCAAGUAAACUGACAUAAAUUUUCUCUUAAUCCUCAGUUUUCCGACGCUUUAAAUAAAACUUAUUAAGUGCAAAACCACAACCGCCAGCAGGCAUGUCAGCUAGGAAGCUUCCUGUUGCCACUGCCUGCCUUCCCUCACUAUCUUUGACCCAGUGGUUUUCUGAUCGCCUUGUCUAGGAAGGGUGAGGUGGUUUUGCUAAUGCACUGAGCAAAGACUUUAUUGAUCACGAAUUGUGAUUGCUCAACUCAGCGUCAUGAAUCUUUCAGUGAAUAGGAUUGCCUCCAAGAUGCUUCCUUUUUCAGAAUUGAUGACUUCCUCUUUUUCUCUCUUUUUUUUUUUUGUGAUUAUUUGAAGGAAGGGUGUGAAGGGCAACAUCAAGAAGACUAGUCACAUAUCACUGAUGCCACAGUUAAUUGUGUCUUAAUGGAAGAGUAGAAAUUCCCUAGUCAGAGAAGGGGAGGGAGAGGCAUCCCCGGUCACACAAAUGCGGCUCAAGGACAGAGCAGUGUGACAGAGCAGCGUGUUUGGCAGACACCAUUUCAGUGCAGGUUAAAAGCAAAACGUGCAGGUGGUGAGAAUCUUCUUGGAGGAAGAAAUGUUCAAGGCUAGCUGACUGCAGAUCCGGGAAAGCUGGACGUGUUUAUAUCCGGGUUCUGCGGUUAGUGGCGAAGCUUGGACGGAGUUCGCCAGAACAGUGAUGUGACUGUUCUAUGAUUCGAGACAGGUGGUGAUUGUGUGCAAGACGGAUAAACAGGAAACAGAGAUGUCGGAGUGACCAACAGCUAAUCCCUGCAGACUGCAUUUACCCAGCUGACUUUUGGUUGUGUUCAGCCAAUAUAAGGCACUUGCAGGAGACUGAAGGAUGGGAGAAAGAUGCCAAGGUUCAUCUCUAUGACGAAGAGACAAAGAAAUCAAGGAAUCAUUGAGCAAGAUUGACCAACAUGGCCCCACCAGCGUGAUUGCUCGGCUGACUGGAAUAGGAUGACCUUGGAAGCCAUAUUUUUAAGUUGGCAGAAUUCUGCAGCCUGGAUUUCGAAGCAACUAGGUGGAGUAGAGCUGCUUUCCCAAACUACUCAUUACUGUUACUCGGAAGAAAUACACUUUCAGUAUUUUUGAGUAAUACAUUUUGGACCUAACUUUCAUACCAGUAAUGGAUCUCUCUUAACUCAUACCAAAGAGAGGGCUCAUGAGUUGAGAAAUCAUCCCGGAAGAUUUCUAUACACUCCAACGCUGUGCAGAGAGAGACAGGAAUCACAGAACUAGAAAGAAGUAACAAUCAUAAAAUUUCCUUGAAUCUACCUAUUUAAUCUCAAAUACUUAUUUUUCCAUAUCUAUACAAUGACUUUGUACGCCAACGUCCCUUACUCUAAUCAUGGUUAUAGCUGAAAUCUUGAUAUUAUCCAUGGCUUAGAUUCAUUUUGCUGAGUUCACACUUAAUCACACAUUGAGAGGAUCGAGUUUAGUUGUUUUCCUUUUCUCCUUUAGGACAUACUUUGCAAAGACACAACUCGUUGUCAAAAUAUAUUGUUCCAAACUAUUGAGUAUAUGUUUUUGUACAUAUAUUUUAACAAUAGAAAUUCCAAAUUAAUUCAGCACAGCCAUUGUCCCGAAAGAGGUUACUGUCUAACUGAGCAAAAGUGACACAGAGCAUUACAAUGAUUAAACAGCAAUAAAAAGCUUUUAAAAUGCUAAACACAAAUAUUUUCUUCAUGUAUUCAGUUAAAAAAAGCUUCCAAAAGUAUGUAUUCUAUACCCUACUGUAUUCAGAUAAAUACUCUUUUAGGUUAGUAUAUGACUAUAUAUAUAUAUAUAUAUAUAUAUAUAUAUAUAUGCAUCAAAAAUGUCUGGAGAAUGAGUCUCACAAAUAUUAAUAGCGAUUAUAUCAUUGUAAUGGGAUUACAAGUAAUAUUUAAUAGUUUGUUUAUUUAUAUUCUCUAUUUUUCUUCUUUAACAAAUUCAUAUUAUGUGCCUAAUAAAGAAAAUUCUAGUGGAAAAAUAUGUGCAAAGAGGAGAAUUCUGUUCAUUGCCUAUGAGUUAAUUCUAAAAUAUUUUAAAAAGAGAGGUCAAGGAAAAUGUCAAGUGGCAAGCUGUGUUUAUUUUGCAAUAGAGAGGGGUAAAGGAGGUAAGAAGGAAAUUAAUGGAACCACCACACCUAAGAACUCCUCAAAUAUUUGAAAAAGGACUACAACCUGUGGGAAGUUAUCACAUUCAUGAAUACAUAUUAAGAUUUUAUUACUGGGUUAACUUAAAAGACACUUUAUUCUUUUGGAGCUGAGUUUCUUUUUGCAAGUCAAAUGGAUCUUUUGUAUAUUACUCUGGCCCAGGAGAGGGCAUACCACCACACAUAAAGAAAUUUAACUUAACCUUUUAAAGAAAUAAUGCCUAUAGCACGGCCAAGUCCUUAGCAAAGGAAAUGGCAAUUCUUCCUCAAAACAUGUGUUGUCCUUUUCUCUCAGUAUUUCCAUUGCCAUUUGUAACCAUCUUCAAACACAAAUGCACUUUUCUGAAUAAACUGUUACUGUAAUAACUUUGGUGUCAUGAUUAUUCUUCCUAAAAGGUUUACAUUUAUUCUUAGACUAGAUCUUUUCCAUUUGGCAGUGGAUCCUCCCUAAGAGGAAAGUUUGCUCCUUCUUAUGAGGAAAACAAACAAAAAGAAAAAUACUGUAGAAGUGGACUGGUCCUAUACUUUUAAGUAGGCAAAGAAAUGCAUGCCAGAGUGGUUUAUCUAAAAUAAAGGAGAGAGAAUGAUGCUAUGAACGUGAAUAAUUAGUCUA